AUUGAACGCUGGCGGCGUGCUUAACACAUGCAAGUCGAUCGGUAACAGGUGUAGCAAUACAUGCUGACGAGAGGCGGACGGGUGAGUAAUGCUUGGGAAUCUGCCUAUUAGUGGGGGACAACCCGGGGAAACUCGGGCUAAUACCGCAUACGCUCUACGGAGGAAAGCCGGGGACCGCAAGGCCUGGCGCUAAUAGAUGAGCCCAAGUCGGAUUAGCUAGUUGGUAGGGUAACGGCCUACCAAGGCGACAAUCCGUAGCUGGUCUGAGAGGACGACCAGCCACACCGGAACUGAGACACGGUCCGGACUCCUACGGGAGGCAGCAGUGGGGAAGUAUUGGUACAAUGGGGGCGAACCCUCGAUCCAGCGACGCCGCGUGGGUGAAGAAGGCCUGCGGGUUGUAAAGCCCUUUCGGUGGGGAAGAAAAGUCUCGACCUAAUACGUCGGGACCUUGACGUAACCCCACUAAAGAAGCACCGGCUAACUCUGUGCCAGCAGCC
This 500-nucleotide ribosomal RNA is filed under the name uncultured bacterium. Its description in RNAcentral is "bacterial SSU rRNA". It matches the Rfam family "Bacterial small subunit ribosomal RNA", at positions 29 to 516 of the family's 1533-position model. The record is from RNAcentral.